RNAcentral lists this ribosomal RNA (253 nucleotides) under uncultured bacterium. RNAcentral's name for it is "partial 16S ribosomal RNA". It matches the Rfam family "Bacterial small subunit ribosomal RNA", at positions 524 to 776 of the family's 1533-position model. The record is from RNAcentral.
UACGUAGGGAGCAAGCGUUGUCCGGAAUCAUUGGGCGUAAAGCGCGCGUAGGUGGCUCUAUAAGUCCGUUGUGAAAGUCAAAGGCUCAACCUUUGAAAGCCGAUGGAUACUGUGGAGCUAGAGUACGGAAGAGGCGAGUGGAAUUCCUGGUGUAGCGGUGGAAUGCGCAGAUAUCAGGAGGAACACCAACGGCGAAGGCAGCUCGCUGGGACGGUACUGACGCUAAGGCGCGAAAGCGUGGGGAGCGAACAGG